This is a non-coding RNA of Gossypium raimondii (Peruvian cotton), 103 nucleotides long. Lineage: Eukaryota; Viridiplantae; Streptophyta; Magnoliopsida; Malvales; Malvaceae. The record is from Rfam.
AUGCUAAAAUCCAUGCAUCGGACAAGUCUUUAAAUCGUUCCCAAGCUUCAUAUAAUGUGUCAUCAUCUAAUUGCUGAAAAUAUGUGAUGUCAUUUCUAAGCUU